Molecule: ribosomal RNA, 491 nt
Filed under: uncultured bacterium
Lineage: Bacteria
Description: partial 16S ribosomal RNA
Rfam family: Bacterial small subunit ribosomal RNA
Source: RNAcentral
AGUGAACGCUGGCGGUAGGCCUAACACAUGCAAGUCGAACGGCAGCACAGUAAGAGCUUGCUCUUACGGGUGGCGAGUGGCGGACGGGUGAGGAAUACAUCGGAAUCUACUUUUUCGUGGGGGAUAACGUAGGGAAACUUACGCUAAUACCGCAUGCGACCUACGGGUGAAAGCAGGGGAUCUUCGGACCUUGCGCGAUUGAAUGAGCCGAUGUCGGAUUAGCUAGUUGGCGGGGUAAAGGCCCACCAAGGCGACGAUCCGUAGCUGGUCUGAGAGGAUGAUCAGCCAAACUGGAACUGAGACACGGUCCAGACUCCUACGGGAGGCAGCAGUGGGGAAUAUUGGACAAUGGGCGCAAGCCUGAUCCAGCCAUACUGCGUGGGUGAAGAAGGCCUUCGGGUUGUAAAGCCCUUUUGUUGGGAAAGAAAAGCAGCAGGUUAAUACCCCGCUGUUCUGACGGUACCCAAAGAAUAAGCACCGGCUAACUUCGU